This 497-nucleotide ribosomal RNA is filed under the name uncultured bacterium. Its description in RNAcentral is "partial 16S ribosomal RNA". It matches the Rfam family "Bacterial small subunit ribosomal RNA", at positions 28 to 507 of the family's 1533-position model. The record is from RNAcentral.
GAUGAACGCUGGCGGCGUGCCUAAUACAUGCAAGUCGAGCGAACAGAUAAGGAGCUCGCUCCUUUGACGUUAGCGGCGGACGGGUGAGUAACACGUGGGUAACCUACCUAUAAGACUGGGAUAACUUCGGGAAACCGGAGCUAAUACCGGAUAACAUUUGGAACCGCAUGGUUCUAAAGUGAAAGAUGGUUUUGCUAUCACUUAUAGAUGGACCCGCGCCGUAUUAGCUAGUUGGUAAGGUAACGGCUUACCAAGGCGACGAUACGUAGCCGACCUGAGAGGGUGAUCGGCCACACUGGAACUGAGACACGGUCCAGACUCCUACGGGAGGCAGCAGUAGGGAAUCUUCCGCAAUGGGCGAAAGCCUGACGGAGCAACGCCGCGUGAGUGAUGAAGGGUUUCGGCUCGUAAAACUCUGUUAUUAGGGAAGAACAAACGUGUAAGUAACUGUGCACGUCUUGACGGUGCCUAAUCAGAAAGCCACGGCUAACUACGUG